Long non-coding RNA from Chrysemys picta bellii (western painted turtle), 1556 nucleotides. The record is from Ensembl. Lineage: Eukaryota; Metazoa; Chordata; Testudines; Emydidae.
GCCAGACUGACUGCUGGGAAGGCAUGAUCCAAAACCAAACCUCAGAUACAUUCACCCCCGGUUGGAUUCUGUUUUUUUACAUUGUUUUCUUUAUUCUUCUCCUUGGCUGACUUUUCUUAUGUAAAAUGAAUGCAGUGCUCACACGUGAGCAUCACAGCUGAAUAAAUACGUUCCUGUUCUUGCCUGAGCCCAGAUGUAUUGUGUGUCUCUUUGCUUGCUGGAAAACAGGGUGUGUGAGGUGCCCUUAGCUGAAAGUUCAACUCAUGGGUGCAGCACAACUGCUCCUUGGGACAGCUGCUCUGUGGUUCUCAGCAGCGCCGUCUCUCUUGUCACUUUUCAUCCUAACACAGACCUUUACCUCCCAUGCCUGCCCCCAUCCCCCUCCAGGAUGGGCCCUGAGGAACGAACACUUGAGUUGAUUAUUCACCUGUUCUCCCCAGCUGUGGUACCUGUAACAUGUCCCACAGACCAGAUGCUGCCUUAUAUUGUUUUACUCCCUAAAAGCCCUUUCGGAUUCAGUCCAUAUGUCUGAGGCUGGAUAGGAUGAAGCGUGAGUCUGGUCUACCAUAGACGUGUCAUAUGGGACUGGAGCAAACACGGGGAGCAAAACCACUGUGGGGUCAGUCUGUACGUUAGAUAUUAGCGUCUCUCUGAUUCCUGCCUUCCAUCGUCAGUGAGUGGUGACGGAAAACCCUGCGGCUAUAUUUAAAAACAGCCAUAAUGAGCAAUUUCCUUUAACCCCUUGUCGUCAUCCCAGAAUGCCCCCAUGUGGGCAGGUGUGGUGUUGCAGGCGAGCCCUUACUUUGUUUUCCCCUCACCCAGGGUAGUGGCAAGUCCAAACAGCCUGUUAAAUGCUAAAGAGCACCCCCUAGUGGAGGGUCAUUUAUUAACAGAAAAGCCCAUCAAAAAAACAUUCACCCCAGCAUCCUGGCGGGUGACGUGUUCAUCUUAGUCCAUGUCCCCCAGCUGAGUCCCAUAUUCCCCUCUACCCAGGCUCUUCCCCUGGGGUUCCCUUGGUGCCAGUCUCUGCCCUGAGGUUGUGCCUCUGGCCCCUGCUGGAGUAACAUCCUUCUCUGGAGCCUGUGGGGUCGGGGAAGUCCCUCCACUGUGACCUUUCUCCAGGGAAAGCAGGUAAUCCAUGUGAGGCCGGGCUUCCAGCCUGUGUCUGGGUGACCACUGGCUGAGACCAGGUCCUUUUGGGUGCCUGCAGACUGCCGUCCUCUAUCUAGGAGUUGCCCAUCUCCAGGAGCUCCUCUUAGAGCAGUGGUUCCCAAACUGGGGUUCGUGAACCCCUGGGGGUUUGCAAAGUGUUAUAGGGGGUUCUUGGGAAAAAAUUCACUAAUGGCGGACAGAGCUGUCCCUAGGGACCCCGGGUAGCACGGGGCCCGCAGCCUGGAGCCCCUGGAUUUUCAAGAGCUAAGCAGAUCAAAGCAAGCACAUCUAUCACACUGAGGAGAUUUAAACUUCAAGACUCCUUAGAAGAAAUGUAAAGGGAAGUGGAUAUUUUUUGCUGUUUUGAAAAUAAAUAGGCAGCUAGUAUUGUUUUGAAAAUUAUG